AUGUAAUUACAAGUGUGCUCCUGGUGGUCUUUAACUGAAGGGCACUGACUGGGUACUGGUGAAGUUCCCCGCAGGAACUGAGUCAGACCCCAUCUCAGGGCCCUGCAGAAGAUAGGUGCCUGCUCUAAGGCGUGGACCCUCGCGACAGCCCUGGCCCGUCUUGACGGGCGAGGGUUACUGUACUUGUCCCAAUCGUACAGAUGAGAAAGCUCAGACUCAGGGCCAGCAACCCCGGUCCCAGCGGAGCGCCCGGCACGCGCCGACACUUCAGCACCAGUCGCGGUGGCCACCACUGUGCGCGGAGAUGGCUGCGACGCGUGCGCAGAUCUCGAUCCCAAACUCCCUCCUGCCAGAAUCUGGACCCGAAUCCACCCAUUGCCCAUUUUCCGCUGCCGCUGGAGAGAAUCUCUGAGGUCCCCAGGACAGCCUGCCUGCACGGAAGAGAUGCCUCCUCAGUAUGGCCGCCCCCGGAGAGGAGCGAUUAAGUGCAGACCCCCAUGUUGCUCUUGAGCCUGAGCGGCUUCAGGGAGCCAUGUUUGUUACUGGCGGGCGCCGGCCUCACUGAGCAUGUGCAGCCCUGGCCGGGCGGCCUCAAAGUUCUGACAUCACAGGGCGGUUCCUGAAGUGGACGUAGUUGUAAGAGCUAGUUAUUUUAGACAAUGCCUCUGGGAUCAGGGACUCUAAUCUGGAAAUAGGUAGUGGGAGAGGUCGGUGAUGCUGUCUCGGGGUCAGAGACCUGAGCUAUAUGGGGUUAGAGAGGGGCCCUGGGCAGGCGAGUCUCUGGGGAGUGUGGUGAGAAUCCUUGUGUAAGAUGCUGGGAGGAGGUGGGGUCAGGGCUGGGGUCCGUGGGCCGACGGGUUGGGGGAUGGCCAGCGUCAGGGAUCAGUAGUAGAGAUUCUAUGUGCCCUGAUCGCCAGUAGAGGUUUUAAAUACAGAGUAUUCAUGAGUUUAGCAAUGUUAUUCGCCUCUCAUAAUUUAAAUAAUUUGAAGUUUUCCCCCAGUAACUAGUGUCUUAGAAGUCAUGAAAAUUUCAGAAAAUGACAGGUCUUCUGAGUUCGUGAUGGGAGUUGGGCAGCAGUCGCAUACGAGCACCUGGAGAGUCCUUGCCAGUUCUUUGGGGAUGGGGAGCUCUUAAGACUGCCCUGAGACCGCCCUUUGACCUCAUUAUGGUCCUUUCUAGAUUAAAUGCUGUUUUCCAUGACCGUCUCUGUUCUUCCCAUACGCGAAUGGCAGGCAUCCAGAUCUCCAAGAAUAGAGGAUUAGGAGAGACUCCACCACCUAUGUCCUCACAGUUAAUUAUCGAUUUGUGUCACUUGCCCAUUUUCUCACUUCCUGUUUGUGUGUCAAGGAGUAUUAAUAAAUCUUUGCCUAUUUAAAGAUACUAGCCUUGGAUUUUCAAAUAUUGCAUAUUUUGACAUGUAAAAAUGUGUUAGUUUUAUUUUUUCAACCGAUCUGACCUGUAUAGUUGGGCUUGAGGAAGCUUCCUCAUUGUACAUGUUACUAUGGAUUUUCUAAUAUUAACACAGGGUUGUAUUUUUUCCAUAUAACUUUCUAUUGAAUUUCUUUUUCCAUAUGAUAGGUGGUGAAGGUUUAGCCCAGUAAAGCAGAGAGGUUAAGAGGUUAGACUGGGGGCUCUGGAGCCAGACCUAUGUAGAUCUGAGUCCUGGCUCUGGCACUUGAAAGCCGUGUGACCUUGGUUAAGAUACUUAGCCCCUCUCUGCCAAAUGGAGAAAUAAGGGCACCUACCCCGUAGGGUAGUUGUGUGAGUACACAAGUUAAUACACUUCAAUCACUAGCAAGAAAGUGAAUGUCAAGCUGUAUUUGUUCAGGCAGCCAUAUGGUAGCCCCACCUCAUUAGUAAACUGAGGUAUUGAAGUAUCUUCUUUUUCUUUCAGAAAAUAUUUGUCAAGCACCUUCUGUGUUCUAAGAACUGUUCUAGAGCUUUGCAUGCUAUGGAGGUCUAGAAAUUCACAUUAUGGUGGCAGGUGACAGACAAUACAAAGAGGUAAAGCAAUUUCAUAUAGUGAUAACCUAGGGAGGCGUGCUAAAAGGAGCCAAGGUGUAGUGGUGACUGGAAGGUGACCAGGGAAACCACUGUAGGGUUUCUAACUGAUGAGAUCUGUGACAAAUCCCUGUGGUCAGCAGCAGGCAUUGGAUAUGUAACUUUAUUCUGUCCCAUUGAUCUUGUAGUCAACCCUGGUCUGUUCUGUAUUGUUUUAAUUACAUAAUCUUUGUAAUAAUCUUU
RNAcentral lists this long non-coding RNA (2245 nucleotides) under Homo sapiens (human). RNAcentral describes it as "non-protein coding lnc-SPATA31A7-14:2". The record is from RNAcentral. Lineage: Eukaryota; Metazoa; Chordata; Mammalia; Primates; Hominidae.